This 487-nucleotide ribosomal RNA is filed under the name uncultured bacterium. Its description in RNAcentral is "bacterial SSU rRNA". It matches the Rfam family "Bacterial small subunit ribosomal RNA", at positions 28 to 521 of the family's 1533-position model. The record is from RNAcentral.
GACGAACGCUGGCGGCGUGCCUAACACAUGCAAGUCGAACGGAGAUGAUGGGAUAGCUUGCUAUUUAAUCAUCUUAGUGGCGGACGGGUGAGUAACACGUGGGCAACCUGCCCCAAAGAGGGGGAUAACACCGAGAAAUCGGUGCUAAUACCGCAUAAUAUUAGAGCUUCGCAUGGAGCUUUAAUCAAAGGAGCAAUCCGCUUUGGGAUGGGCCCGCGUCUGAUUAGCUAGUUGGUGAGGUAACGGCUCACCAAGGCGACGAUCAGUAGCCGAUCUGAGAGGAUGACCGGCCACACUGGAACUGAGACACGGUCCAGACUCCUACGGGAGGCAGCAGUGGGGAAUAUUGCACAAUGGGGGAAACCCUGAUGCAGCAACGCCGCGUGGAGGAAGAAGGUCUUCGGAUUGUAAACUCCUGUCUUCUGGGACGAAUAAUGACGGUACCAGAGGAGGAAGCCACGGCUAACUACGUGCCAGCAGCCGCGGU